This 269-nucleotide unclassified non-coding RNA is filed under the name uncultured fungus. RNAcentral's name for it is "sequence contains ITS1, 5.8S rRNA gene". The stretch from base 221 to 269 matches the Rfam family "5.8S ribosomal RNA", at positions 1 to 49 of the family's 154-position model. The record is from RNAcentral. Lineage: Eukaryota; Fungi.
UCUCCGUUGUUGAACAAGCGGAGGGAUCAUAAAAGAGUUAUAUAACUCCCAAACCCAUGUGAACUUACUAUUUGUUGCCUCGGCAGAGCCUACCCGGUAACUGUUCGGAGAAGCUACCCUGUAGCUACCCUGUAACGGCCUACCCUGUAACGUCCUGCCGGUGGACCUUUAAACUCUUGUUAUUUUAUAGUAAUCUGAGCGUCUUAUUUUAAUAAGUCAAAACUUUCAACAACGGAUCUCUUGGUUCUGGCAUCGAUGAAGAACGCAGC